RNA transcript from Beta vulgaris subsp. vulgaris (sugar beet), 2590 nucleotides. RefSeq lists it as uncharacterized. The record is from RefSeq and is a predicted model, not a curated record. The transcript has 10 exons. Lineage: Eukaryota; Viridiplantae; Streptophyta; Magnoliopsida; Caryophyllales; Amaranthaceae.
UUGAAAGUUGUGGGGUGAUGUUUUUGGGUUUGAGUUUUCUUUUGGUUUGUUUGGGUUUGUGGAGUGGGUUGUAGGUGUUUUGGGCGUUUUAGAGCUACGCUUAAAUAUACUUGUAAUUUUAAAUUUCGUGUUAGAGAGGCGGUUUUCAAAAUGGGUUAAAUAAUUUUUUUUUUUUUGAACGGAAAUGAGUAAAAAGAAAAAAAAAUUGAGUUAUUUAAAAAAAAUGGGUUGUAGGUGUUUUUUUUUUUGUUUUGUUUUUUGUGUGAAGGGAAAUGAGUUAAUUUUUUUUUCUGAUGCUAAAAAUUACAAACAUGUAUAUACAAGUACAAUUAUGUUCAAUUUACCCAUUUAUAAUAGGUGGGUAGUUAUUUAAAUUGAGAAUUCAGCCAUGUUGAUCUUACAAUUAUGUUCAAUUUUUUGUAUUGGUCCAUGUGCUUUCUUGAAUUAAUUUCAGUUGUUUAGCAAGUCCAAUCUCUGAUAUUCUUUCUACGUCAUUCUCCUUCGCUUCUCCCUCGCCCUCCUCCCUGUACAUUACAAUUACUAUAUUUGCUGUUGUAGAUUCUCACAAGUUUCAACUAUUUCCAGAAAUAAAUAAACAGUUGUAUAAGCGUUGAUUUCUUCUUCACCAAUCUUACCAUUAUUUCAGAUCUGUUUCGAGGUAGUUCAGUACAAUGCAGGACAUUUAGAUUGGUCCCACUAUUUUAAUUUAAUCGAUUUGGGGUUUCUUCAUCUCCAUAGCUGCAUUUUGGCUGAGAAACUAAGGUGGGUCGGUGACAGAAAAGUAUAUGAUAUGGCAGUUUCAAAGCAAACUGUUAUGGCUAUCAAGUCUUACCAAAAUCAGGCUGAAAAUCUGGUGAAGAAUCAUUUGCUGUCUGAUUCUGUAAUACCUUACACUUCAAUUAUUGCUGGGAUAUUAGUCUGCAAAGUGAUCUAUAAUCUUACACAGUUGUUUAGUGCCCUGUACUUCAAGAGUUAUGCUGGCCUUAACAGAGUACAAAGGAUUGAAUGGAACAAUCGUGGCAUCUCGACGGUUCAUGCCCUUUUCAUUGCAGCUAUGUCUUUAUAUUUUGUUUUCUGGUCAGACCUAUAUGCUGACUUUCAAACGAACGGUUUUGUUACAUUCCGUAGCUCAACACUUUCAACUUUCACUCUAGGAGUAUCUGUGGGGUACUUUAUUGCAGACCUUGCAAUGAUCAUGUGGCUUUAUCCUUCUUUGGGUGGAAUAGAGUAUGUGAUACAUCAUUCUCUGUCCGGAAUCGCUGUUGCUUAUGCUAUGUUCUCUGGGGAAGGACAACUUUAUACCUUCAUGGUCCUCAUUUCUGAGGUUACUACACCUGAAAUCAAUAUGCGAUGGUUUCUUGAUACAGCUGGAUUGAAGAGAUCUCAUGCAUAUCUUAUUAAUGGAAUCGUGAUUUUUUUCGCCUGGUUGGUUGCAAGAAUUCUGCUGUUUGUCUAUAUGUUCUAUCAUGUUUACUUGCACUACCAUCAGGUUAUCCAAAUGCAUGUAUUUGGCUUCUUUUUGGUCUUUGUUGUGCCAGCAGUGCUUGCUGCAAUGAACUUGAUGUGGUUCGGGAAGAUACUCAGAGGAUUGAAGAAGACCCUAGCUAAGAGGCAAUGACAGAUUUCUAUUGCUAUUGCAUCACAUUUUUCAUAGGAUCGUUUUUCUUCGGUGUAAAAAUGGUGGGGUUGAAAUUGCGAAGGUAAAGGAACCCUUUGAGUGACGUGACUUACGAUAGGAUUUGUUGUAAAUAGCUGAACCUUGACGCCACAAGCACUAUAUUGUUGCGGCAGACAAUGAAAAGUUUUCCUGCUCUUCCUAUCGAUGGAAGGCUGCAACCCUUUUGUGAGAAAGGAAAGAGAGGGCCGAGGUGGGUCCAUGUACGUGCUAAUAGAGUUCAUUUUCCUUUCUCACAAGUGCUGCAUAGCUUGGUGUUGUGCCUCACAGAUUUUCCAAAUUCCAUCGCUAAUAUUCUCAUUUGCACGGGCCAUCGUAAAAGGCAAGACACUUGUGCUAAUUAUUAGCAUUAGUCUCUAAAACUAAAAUUAUUAUGUAUAAUUACAAAAAAGUACCUGGAUAUUAGGAUAAUGUGACUAAAACAAAGGAACUUUUUUUUUUCGUUAGAUAGCACUUUUACCGUCUUUUAUUUUGUAUUAUAGUACCUCUUAUUUCGCUUUUUACAAAAUCACUUCUAAGAAUGUUUUUUUUACCACACUUUUUGACCAUAUUUCAAAUUGUCAAUUUUUCGGCAUUUAAAGAAGAUAUGAAGAGGAUACUCAAACGUAGGAAGAGAGCAACUAAGUGAGAAAAAGAAGAAAAAAGAAAACAAAAAGGAGUAUGUUUCAUUGUUAAAAAGGAGAGAGAAAAAAGGUCAAAUGCUUGAAAGUUGACAAUUUGGCUACAGUUUGGCCAAAAGCUUUUUUUAUAUUAGAAAAACACAUUCUUAAAAGUGCUAUUUCGCAAAAAUCAGCAUGAAAGAUUCUAUUUUACAAAAUUAAAGGCAUAAAAUAUGCUAUUUGACAAUUAAAAAAAAUCUGAAAUUAAAAAUAAAUAUAAAAAUUAGGAUCCUCUAAAAUGAGAGGUCAUAUACUA